This is a non-coding RNA of Octodon degus (degu), 360 nucleotides long. Lineage: Eukaryota; Metazoa; Chordata; Mammalia; Rodentia; Octodontidae. The record is from the annotation of a RefSeq genome assembly.
AUGCGGGAGUCUACAAGUCUACCGUGUCCAUACAGUGUCCUGUCCCAGGGGCAGCUGCAGGAGACUGGGCCUGGCCUGCUGAGGCCCUCGCAGACCCUGUCCCUCACCUGCUCAGUCUCUGGCUACUUCAUCAGCAGUGGGCACUCCUGGACCUGGAUCCGCCAGCCUCAAGGGAAGGGGAUGCAGUGGGUGGGGCGGAUUGACAGAGCUGGAGGCACAGUUUAUGAGCCGUCCCUGAAGAGCCGAGUCAGCAUCUCCAGAGACAUGCCCAAGAACCAGUUCUCCCUGCAGCCAAAUUCUGUGACAGCUGAGGACACGGCCUUGUAUUACUGUGCAAGAGACACAGUGGGAGAACAUUAG